CCGCCUCCACUGAUAGACCUUGGACAGUUUGCUGGGGUUUUGUUUGUUUGUUUGUUUGUUUGUUUGCUCUGGGGAUGCAAAGGAGGGAAAUCCCUGCACUUCCUGUCUGUCUUUUUGGCAGCCCAGAUUGAACUGGGGACUACAUCU
Piliocolobus tephrosceles (Ugandan red Colobus) is the source of this 147-nucleotide small nucleolar RNA. Lineage: Eukaryota; Metazoa; Chordata; Mammalia; Primates; Cercopithecidae. The record is from Ensembl.